ACGUAGGGUGCGAGCGUUGUCCGGAAUUAUUGGGCGUAAAGGGCUUGUAGGCGGUUUGUCGCGUCUGCCGUGAAAUCCUCUGGCUUAACUGGGGGCGUGCGGUGGGUACGGGCAGGCUUGAGUGCGGUAGGGGAGACUGGAACUCCUGGUGUAGCGGUGGAAUGCGCAGAUAUCAGGAAGAACACCGGUGGCGAAGGCGGGUCUCUGGGCCGUUACUGACGCUGAGGAGCGAAAGCGUGGGGAGCGAACAG
RNAcentral lists this ribosomal RNA (251 nucleotides) under uncultured bacterium. RNAcentral describes it as "partial 16S ribosomal RNA". It matches the Rfam family "Bacterial small subunit ribosomal RNA", at positions 525 to 775 of the family's 1533-position model. The record is from RNAcentral.